GUCCACGCCGUAAACGAUGUCUACUAGCUGUUCGUGACCUUGUGUCGUGAGUAGCGCAGCUAACGCAUUAAGUAGACCGCCUGGGGAGUACGGUCGCAAGAUUAAAACUCAAAUGAAUUGACGGGGGCCCGCACAAGCGGUGGAGCAUGUGGUUUAAUUCGACGCAACGCGAAGAACCUUACCUACUCUUGACAUCUACAGAAGACUGCAGAGAUGCGGUUGUGCCUUCGGGAACUGUAAGACAGGUGCUGCAUGGCUGUCGU
This 263-nucleotide ribosomal RNA is filed under the name uncultured bacterium. RNAcentral describes it as "partial 16S ribosomal RNA". It matches the Rfam family "Bacterial small subunit ribosomal RNA", at positions 793 to 1055 of the family's 1533-position model. The record is from RNAcentral.